GAAAGAGAGAGGGAGGGAGGGAAGGAAAGGAGAGAGAAAUACCCACUUGUCUGUAGCAGCAACAUGCCAGCCCCUAGUUAUGGCUCAUGCCCACUUGUAUUUUUCAUACUCUACUUACAACCCAAUAGUGGGUCAUGAAAUUAAUUUAGUUGAUGAUGUGACUAGUACUUCAAAAAUGCAAGGGAAAAUACCAGUGUACAGCACAAAUAGUAAAUAUAAGUUGUGUUUUGUGGAACUUUUUGUUUGCAUUGUUUAUGUUUCAGUUAUGUGUGCUUCUUACUGUGGGUUACAGUUAAAAAAAACAAAACAGCUGUCUAAGUCUUGACAAUCCUUUUCAUAGCUUUUUUUCAGUGAAGCUAGAAGUGGCCAUACGACCUACUUCUGGACGCAGAGAUGGGGGAAGGUGUCCUGGGGGAGGAGAGAUCUGAGGGAUGGUGAAGAUAACUUUUGCUUUUCUGGUAGAAAGAACAGAUGUCUCUCCUGCCUGCCUGUCUCAAAUGAGGACAUGAUGUGUAAUGUCUGGAGCACUGGCAGCCAUGUUGAGAUCAUAAAGCAACAUGUCCGCAUGCUGAGGCUGGCAGAGCAUAAAGAUCAAAGGUGUCUGGAUCCUUCUUAACAUCAUGGAGCUUCUGCACCAACCCUGCACUGCCUACUCCAGACUCCCUACCAUGGAGAAAAAUUAGCCCCUAUUUCUUCAAGGCAGAGGUUGGUAAACCUUUUCUGUACAGGGCUGGAUAGUAAAUAUUUUAGGCUUUGUGGGCUAAAUGGUCCGUGUCACAACUACUCACCACUACUGGGGUAGUUUGAAAGUAGCCAUAGACAAUAUGUAAACCAAAGGACAUGGUUGUGGUUCUCAUAAAACUAUUUUAAAAAAUGGAUGGCAGGGCUAUAGUGUGCCAACCCCUUCCCUAGAUGAUCUUGUCCCCUAAUUGUCUCUCUGACCUCAUCUCCUCCUACUGCCUCUCCUUCUCCCUGCUCUGAUCACACUGUUUCUCCCACACACCCAGCCUGUUCCUGUCAGGGUCAUUCCUUCCCUUGGAGGGCUCUUUCCCCAGAUGUCCACAGCGCUCCCUCCUUCCCCUGCUUCAGGUCUUUAAUCACAAAUCACCUCCUUUUUCAGGUCGUCCCUGGGCCCUCUGUAAAAUGCCCGUCCCUGACCCACGCAUACCACUCUGGCAUGCUGUAUAUUCCAGUCUUUAUCAUGAGCUCCUAGAGGAAGAGACACUAUGUUUCCUUAAAAACUGAUUCUGUCUGGAUUGUCACAGUGUUUAAUCAAUAUCUGAUGUAUGAUUGAUUUUUUUUUUUUCUUUUUGCCAGAUUCAGGUAAGAAAACAAACUCAGGGAGGCUGAGUUCCCCCUCCAAAUGACAUGUGCAGAUAGUGGCAGAGUCCAGGUUUGUGCCUGAUGGCCCAAUGUGGUGGUGUCUGUACCACCCGGGAGUGAGGGAAAAACAACAUCUACCUCUAAUGGAACACACUGGGUCUCAGGGGAGCCAAGGCCACACAGAAGUUCCUGCAAGACUCCUUGCUCCAGGGCGCCGCCCCAGUAAAGGAGGCCUUUGGGAGUCCAUUAAGUGAGCAGGGUGUCCUGUUCGUCUUGGGCAAUUGCAUUCUUUUUGGCCUUCCUACCUCAGAAAGACUUAGGAAAUGCUGUUAUUCUGCAAACAGUUUGGACUGACUUGUAAGAUCCGUAAAAAGACAAAUGGAAACACUCAUGAGCCAGUGUUUUUAUGAAAGAGCCGCAAAGGAUAAAUUUAUGUUUAAUUCGCAAGUAGGGAAGCUCAUAAGAGCCUAAGAGCUUGAUAAAGGCUACUGGGCCCAUCUGUCAGGCAGGCUGCUCUGUGUGGUUUUGGCUUGAGGCAUCUUGGCACCAGGGCACAGCUUCCAAAAGACCGAAAAAUUACCUUCUUCCCUUUGGUGCUCCCAGGGGGAAAUGCCUGGGUACAAUCACAUGUUGUUGAGAUGUCAUUUAGAUUUUUGAGUCCUGAAAAAUAGGUUUAUAUAUCUUGAUGUAAAUGAUAUUAAUAAUGAGAACCAUUUUCAAGCCAUUCUCUUAAGACAGUAAGUGGGAUUUUGAAUUAAUUUCUGAUAGAUCUGAUUGAUUCCUUAAGGCCUUUUAUGGAUGGCUUCAUGUGAUUUUUUCCCCCUUCAUUGUAUCCAACAUUAAAUUAAAAACAAAUGACUUUUAUUUCUCUUUCUUCUUUUUCUUUCUCUUUCUUUCUUUCUUUCUUUCUUUUUCUUUCUUUUUCUCUUUCUUUCUUUUUCUUUCUUUCUCCUCUCUCUCUCCCUUCCUCCCCCUUCUUUCCUUCCUUCCUUUCUUUCUCUCUCUCUCUCCUUCCUUCCUUCCUCUUUCCCUCCCUCCCUCCCUGCUUGCUUGCCUUCCUUCCAUCCCCUUCCUUCCUUCCUUCCUUCCUUUCUCUCUCUCUCUCUCUUUCUUUCUUUCUUUCUCUCUCUCUCUGUCUCUCUUUCUUUCUUUCUUUCUCUCUGUCUCUCUCUCUCUUCUUCUUUUUUGGCAAGUCUUGCGUGCUCUGUCCCCUAGGCUGGAGUGCAGUGACAAUCACAGCUCAUUGCAACCUCGACCUCCUAUGCUCCAGCGAUCCUCCCACCUCAGCCUCUUGAGUAGCUGGAACUAUAGCCAUGGGUCACCACACCUAGCUAAUUUCUAAAUUUUUUGUAGAGACAGGGUCUCUCUAUGUUGCCCAGCUGGUCUCUAACUCCUGGACUCAAAUGAUCCUCCUGCCUCGGCCUCCCAAAGUGCUGGGAAUUCAGGCGUGAGCCCUGAUGCCCUGCCACAAAUGACCUUUUCAAGCAAUUUUUCAAAAAGUCUGUGUGAUUCCAAAUGUGUAUUCUUUAGAAAACAGUUGAUGAUUGUGCGUGCUUGGCAGGAAGAGACCACGUACAGAACGUUUCUUGCUCUGUUUGCUUUGGUGAAAUCCUCGAGCAAUGAGGUUAUCCCAUUGCAUGAUCUUAACGUACAGAAGACUUUGUAUUUACCAUCAAUUUUCAGGUGAAUUCUCAAAAAAUCUGCAUACCACUUAUCUUUCCUUUCUAUGUGAAAUAGUUUUCAUUAACUCCAUUUGUUAGCAUAUAAAUAAUAACUUUAGGUUAAUGUAUUUUACUCUUCAACCCAUACCAGAGGCAGGCUAGAAAUGAUAAUUUAUUCUCCAAAUGCACAUAAAGUUUAAUGAUGUAUGCUGCAUAAGUGCCUUCUUGUUAAACACACACACACAAGUGCACAGAUUUUAUGUAUUAUUUUUCCAUUAUGAUUAUGCUUUAGAAAAGCCUUUGCAUGCCACCCUGCAGAACUAAUAAGUGCCUGAGCACAGAGUUUCCUAGGAUGGGGGGAGCUUGCUUUAAAAGAUGGUAUAGUUAAAAAUUGCUGCUGAAACUUGCUUUUGAGGAAAAAAUAAGUACUUGGCUCAAGCACUUGGUCUCUACUUGGUCUCUGAGAAAAGGGUAAGCUAUCUAACACAUGUCUACUCCAAACACAUCUGUGAGGACAAGGAUGGUCUGAAAGCCCACAUGCAGAGAACAUAACUAGGCCUGGUUUGUUGAUAGCUUUUUCCCUUUGUCCUCACCUCCCUAUCUUCCUGCUACUGGAAAUUAUUUAUCUAUCUAUCUAUCUAUCUAUCUAUCUAUCUAUCCAUCCAUCUAUCUAUCUAGAUAUAGAUAUAGAUUUAUCCAACAGAACAAAGGCUGGAAAAGGACAUCUCUCCACUUUCCUAGGCUGCCCCUGCCUCCCCAGGACUGUGUCACCUCCCCACCCAUCCACACUUCACCACCCUUCUACCUUUGCCUUGGGCUGUUCUCCUGUGGGGCACAGAGAGUGUGGGGCUCCUGGUAAGCUGAUUAUUAUUAAUGGGCGUUGUAACUGCUGUGAGUUGAUAACAUCUUAAAAAUAAGACAAAAAUAAUUACGGUGAUGCAAGACUCCUGAACAAACUGCAUUUUCAAUAUAACUCUAAUUUUAACAUCAGAAAGCAGCUUUAUGUUGGUCAAUAUUUUGAUCAUUUAACAAACAGCAGCACUGUAAAAGGAAAGUAGGCACAAAACAGUUCAGUGUAGGAGGGUUUACAGAAGGACGGCGCUUCUCAAAGGAGAAUGUCUUAAAAAUGGAUUUUCCUCCACAAAGAGCCUGGUGUUGCAGCUUGGGCUCCAGAAUUCUUAUGAAUGGUGAGAUAUAACUGAGAUGCAAAGCUGUGAACUAGUAAGUGAUCAGGACCUUCCCUCAAGCCAGGAUGUGAAACAGCCAAAGGAAGUGGAGACCUCCCAGAUGGAAAAGGAAAGGAACCUUGAGAGGGCACAGCACAUAUGCACAAACAAGGGCGAUCUGUCCAGCUCCUGGACUGCACAUUUUAAAACACACCAUCCUCAGGGUAUUCUGGGAAAACCCACCAGCCAGACAAUGUGGCUACUCCCAUGUCCUGGAGGGAAGCUCUGUCCUGUCUAUCUCUUUUAAGUAUGCAGCUUCCAAGGAAUGUAAAACAUUCCCCAAGGGGGAAGGGCCAAACUGCCCCACAGCUAGCUAGACUUGACCUGUUAACCCUGUGUUUAAAGAUGCUUCAGUUGAGUUGACCUCACCUCCCAGCCUGCCAUCAAAGCCACCUCUGUUCAGCCUCCCGUUUGAUGGGGGCUGCCCAUGCCCAAGCUGCCUUCCCAGUCCUCCUAACUGUGAACUAAGGACUAGUGUUUAAGAAAGGAUAGAGCCAUGUAAUUGCAAAUUGUCUUAAGUUUUGUCUCAUUUGGGGAUCAUCUCUGUCUUUUUACCUUGAAAAUGAAUGCUCUCAAAAUAAUGAAUAAGCUGUCGACCUUACAACUGAGACAGAAUUAGAAUGAUUAGUGUAUUAAUCAGGGUUAUUCCAGAGAAACAGUAUAUAUAUUUACAUAUAUCUCCCAUUGAGGUCAAGAAAGACAUGGGUGUAGCUAGCUAGGUAGUUCACUAUACAGCUAGAUAGAUAGAUUAUAAGGAAUAUUUGGCUCAUGUAAUUGUGGGCUGCCAAGUUCAAAAUCUGCCGGGCUGACCCCAGCAGGCUAGAAAUUCAGGUAAGUUGAUGUUACAGUGUUGAGUCUGAAAUCUGCAGGCCAGCAAGGUGGAAACUGAAUCAGGGUUUCCAUGUUGCAGUCUUGAGGCACAAUCGCUUCUUUUUCAGGGCACUUCAAUCUUUGCUCUUAAAGCCUUUAGUUGAUUGGAUGAAGCCCACCCACAUUACAAAGGGAAGUCUUCAUUACUCAAAGUCUGCUGAUUUAUAUGUAUGUGUCAUCUGAAAAAAUACCUUCACAGCAACAUCGAGACUGAUGUUCGAUCAGACACACAAUAGGCUAACCAAGUGGACACCUAGAAUUAACCAUCACAACCAGUAAGCAUGGAGAGUUUGACCCACAGCUCGUACUCAUGUUUUAUCAGGACAGACUCUGUAGCAGAGUGUGGCCUGAUGCCAGGGCAUUCCAAGGUUCCUUAGCAUGUAACGGUGCCUCUUUUUCCUGGGAUUUCAUCUACCUGUGCAACCUGUGGCAAUUUUUGAGAAAUUUUUGCUGCUCCAUUGGUCUAAUGAGUCGACCUUAGGGAUUGGCAAACAUUUUCUGUAAAGGGCCAGAUAAUGAAUAUUUUCCUAUUUGCAGGCUGCACUAUCUCUCUUGCAACUGCUCAAGCAAAAGCAACCAUAGGCAAUAUGUAAGUGAAUGAGUGUGGCUGUGUUCCAAUAAAACACUAUUUACAAAAAUAAGCAGAGGGCCUGAUUUGGGCCAUAGGUGAAGAAGAGUUUAUAUGGUAUCUCCCUUUGGCAGGGAUAUUUUCUCCCCGCCAAACAUGGUGAAGGGCGUGGAUAAGUGACACUCUGGGCUGGGAUGCUUUUAGUUGUGAGGAGUAAAAAACCCAAACAAUGGGGAUUUUAUGACCUCACGUAAUAAAAAUCCCCAGCAAUGGGUAGCUCCAGACUUGGUUUAUUCAGUGUCUCAAAGUAAUCUUGAAGGACCCAAGUUCGUUCGUUCUUUGCUCAUUGCCAUCUUCAGCAUAUUGGUUUAAUUCUCCUUGAUAUUUGCAAAUGAUUUCUGUGCUUUCCCUCAGACAUGCCGACAUUCAGGGGAAGAAGAGGAAGAGUGUUCCAAUGAGGCUCCGUUUAUUUUUUUAUUUUUUGAGACAGGGUCUCACUCUGUUUCCCAGGCUGGAGUGAGUGGCACGAUCACAACUCACUGCAGCCUUGACCUCCCAGGAUCAGGUGAUCCUCCCACCUCAGCCUCCUAAGUAGUUAGGAUCACAGGUACAUGCCACCACACCUGACUAAUUUUUUGUAGAAACGGGGUCUCACUUUGUUGUCCAGGCUGGUCUCAAACUCCUGGGCUCAGGCAAUCCUCCCGUCUUGGCCUCCCAAAGUGCUGGAUUUACAGGUGUGAGCCAUGGCGCCUCACCUGGGGAUCCUUUUAGUACUGAGGGAAGGAAACCUUUCCCAGAAGCUUCCCAGUCACCUUCCCUUUCUUCCCAUUGGCCACGACUAGGGUGCAGGCACCUUGGGAAGGGUGGACCACUGUGACUAACCCAAUGCAGGACAUGGCUGGCCAAGGGGAGGAAGGUACAUGAGCCAGGACAAUUCAAGCUCCAUCAGAAAACGGGGUCAAUAGUAUCCCCUGGGAGAAGCCGUGCAAUGCCUGCCACAACCCUGCAGAGUCCCAGCAGCUGAGGGGGUCUAUUCCAGGGGCGAGAUCACGGCCUGCAAUGUGUGAGCUGGGUCUCAAGAGGGAGAGAGGGAACAGGCUGGAGAGAUGGAAGUCUGGGAGAGCAGCUCCUCGGGAGAGCACCAUGCAUGAGGAGUGAGGCUUGGGGCAGCUGGGAGAGGACCUAGAGAUGGGGAGAGAGAGAAGGAGUGUGGCCAGGAGCACAGGGGGCCACUCAGGCCAGAGAAGUGGGAACUGAAAAUGCUCUGGUGAAGGGGAGAGCAGCAGCUGGGCCUGAGACCAGAAAAGCCCCCAUGGGCUGCUGGAGGCUCGGGGAGGUGGCAGUGAGCUCUGGGCUCAGGGCACAAGAGGCUUUUGGAGGCUGGGUGCUGGCUGGACUCUGUUUGCCAGCCUUCUCUGUAAGUCCCAGGCAUUAGAGCACAGCAAGCAGGAAUAACAGGAGCCCUGGGCCCUUAGAAGGAAACUGAGGAGAAGCCUGGAUGUCCAUGCUGUGUUCCUGAGUUUUAAGGUGACAUUUUCUUGGCCACUUUUUAUCUGCAUGGUGUUGGGGAGACCCUGCUGAGGCUAGGGUUCUUGUUCUGGUCUUGGAGGUGGCACGGCUGGGGCCUGGAGGGAGAGCUUGGCACAGCUCCCAGGCUCUGCUGGGGCCCAGCUCCGCUCAGGAAUUAUCAGUCACUCAGAGAAAACUCAAAGGGCACUAGGCCUCCAGCAGUCAGCAGCAGUCACAACCAAAGUGGGGAGUGGCUCCAUUUGCCUUCUCCACCUGAGCUAGUGCUCCCCUUUCUCAUGCUUCCUUUAUCCCCCACAUUGAUGAGCCACUUUUUCCUCCUCUUCAUCUGCACUGCCACACCCCACCCCGAACACUUAGCAUCCCAGGUGACUUAGCUGGAGGGAACCUGCUAUGGACUGAAUUGUAUUCCCCUAAAUUUAUAUGUAGAAGCUCUAAUCCCCAGUGUGAUGGCGUUAGGAGGUAGGGCCUUUGCAGGGUGAUUGGAUCAUUUGCAUGGAACCCUCUUGCAUAGGAUUAGUGCUUCUGUAAGCAGAGACAUAAGAGAGAUGACUUCUUUCCUCCACGUGAGACUAUAGCAAACAGGCAGCUCUCUGUGACCCAGGAAGCCAGCCCUCCCUAGAACCUGACCAUGCUGGCACCCUGAUCUUGGACUUCUAGCCUCCCCUCCAGAACUUCGAGGAAUAAAUGUUUGUUGUUUGAGCCACCCAGUGUAUGGUAUUUGUUAUGGCAGCCCAAACUGAGUGAAACAGAACCUUAGGGGUUACCUGGUCAAAACCCCCCUUGUUCAGAUGAUGAGAGGAGAGAGGCCCAGGCCAUCAGGCAGGUGAGGUCUGUGGCCAGCCUCAGACUUUAGUUUCCUGAUGGCAUUAAGAAUCUCUGCUCUGAGCCUGGAAUGAAUACAGGCUCUACCUGUUUUUAGCUGUGUGCAAAUUACCACGCACUGUGGUUUCCCAUCUAUAGAAUGGGGCUGUAAGGGACCUGGCCUCACAGGCUCUGGGGAUUAGAGGAGAUGGAGCAGGCAAAGCACUGAAUCCACUGAGGUCUCAGUGCUCUCAGUGAUUAUCAUCAUUGUUGUUGAUACGCCUGCUUGCCUUAUAUUCUUUUUACUGCACAAACGCCUUGUUACAUAUGGAAAAUAAAUCCACCUGCUUCAGACUCUGAUGGACUUGGCCAUGCUUCCUUUGUCCCAAGAUAGACAAUGAUGUGCAUGAUAAGAUUCCAGCUCUGCUUCCGAAGCUCAACUCAAAUCUACCUUCCCAGACUUCCCUCUGCCUGACUUCCUCUCUCAUAGCAUACUGUUUGUGAUUUUACUGUAGUGCCAUGUCUGCCUCAUGUCAGUCACACAUUUGGCUUGUCUAGAGAGCACACAGCAUGCCAGACUCACUCCUUCAGCCCAGCACCUUGUGUGAUGCCUGGUCCACACAGUAGGUGCUUAGUAAAUGUUUGCUGAGUUAAACCGACUUUUGCCCUUAGCAACCUAUUCUCUAAGUUUAUGCUGGUGCUGUUGGUUUAAAAGAAAGGAACAUGUUUCAAUGUGGAAAGAGGAACUCAAGACUUGGGGCCUGCAAAUACCUCAUCCAGUUUCCUGGAAGCUGGAAACUGAAGCUAUAGUGGGCUGGUGGCAUCCUCACCCCUGGCGGAGCGUGUGCAGCCUCAGGUAGAAGCACCUAUUUAGGGACAAAUGAAUAAUCAAAGGCAUGGCCCAUUUGCUUUACUCUUUAUCUGCUCUUUAAAGGGAAAUUUGAUUUGAAACUCACAGAGUCUUCCAUAUCAAUGAGGUGGUAAACAUCUGCUUGGAUGGGCUUUUGCUCCUGCCCCAGUUAUUCCCAGUACAACCUUCUGUGGUUCUGAUGCUCCCCAUUUCCUCCAGAUCCCUGUCCUGAGACUAUGCAAGCUUUCCAGAAGCUCAUACUGUAAAAAGAAUUGCACAGCAUAUGUUUAGACUCAGUGCUGGAUUUUCCUUGGGCUUGCUCUUAAGUUUGGGCAAAUGCCCCCUGGUAAUGUGCACAGCUGGGCAUCCCUGAGGCUUGGAGCUGGCAGGACCUUUUGGGAUGGCCUUAUCCCUUGGGUUUCAUGUGGGGAAUGACCCAAGACUCCAAAUCCCAGCAGAGUCAAGUGGGACCAUACUCCUGGACUCCUGACUUCCUGGAUGCUGCUAUUCUUUCUAUGCAGCUGUCUCACCCUUGUCAUAAUGGGAAACUCAGGGCAUAACAUUCCACUUAACUGCAACUUGGCUUCUCGAAAUACCUCUUCUCUUCUGUGCAAAGAUCAUGACUCGGUUCUUCCUUCUUCUGUGGACCGUAACAAGCCAUUCAGCCAGUCAAGCAAGUCCCAUGGGAAAUCCCCAUUUUGGCCAACAGAGACAGUUCCUCUUUAUCUCCCAAGAACACUACCCUUUUGCUCCCCUUUCCAGGUAGUCAAACAGCUGACUGUUCAUCAGCAGGCUAGCAGCUGAGCCCGGGGCUUUGAGGGACAGAUGACAGCUGGAUGGCUGACCAGCUUGCAGAGAAAGCUUGAAAUCUUGGGCACACAGGGAAUGGAGCAAGAGAUUUUCCCAUUUGGACAUACCAAAGGAUAAGUUCUCUUUGAGAGAUUGGUGAGGAGUGAGAUGGGGUAGAAUUCCAGGAAAAGGGAAUGAAGUUUGUUUCUCAGGCAAACAUGCCAUCAGCAAGGUAUGGGCUCUAGGCUGAGCUGACAGCAGCAGACAGGGCUUGAUGAGCGUGACUUCCAGCCUGCAGAGAGAGCUGCAUUCCUGCAAGAAGGGAGCAAAUGGCCCCAGAGCAGCUGUAGGCACCAAUGUCCCAGGAAAGAAGCAUUCCGGGGCCAGGAAGAUCCUGCCAAUACUUCACUUAUAUCAUAAUAUUUAAUUCUUAGCCAUUUGUGGAUGUCAGUAC
This 10072-nucleotide long non-coding RNA is filed under the name Homo sapiens (human). RNAcentral describes it as "LHRI_LNC1726.1". The record is from RNAcentral. Lineage: Eukaryota; Metazoa; Chordata; Mammalia; Primates; Hominidae.